UCUAGAGACCUUGCUCCAUAGCCAGUGCCAACUUCGAGUUUCAUUCCAUCAAUUAACACUCUUAAUUAGAGAAGAAAAGAAGAGAGAAAAGAAAUAUCAAGGGCAUCAAUUGGAAAUUCCCUCUUCUCUCUCUUUUAUUUCACUAAUUUUUGAGUUCUUGUGUUCUUGUUGUUCUUGUUUUUGUUCUUCGUGUUCUUAAUACAGGAUGAAUCACAAAGUUGGAGGAGCUCUUAGGAGCAUCGGAAGACACUUUCAUUCUGCAGCACCUGGAGCCAUUCAUCAUCUCAAGCACCUUCACGUAUAGGUUCUGGGAUGGACAUCGAUCUGCCAUCACCUUCCGAGCAUCACACCCCAUCAUCCUCUUCCCAAUGGAAAGAGAGGUGCGUCACAUGAGCCACAUCAGCCAUGGUCCAACCACUCAGGAUGGGAGGACCAAGCCACGUAUGAGCAAGGAGAGCUGUCUACAUCCAUAGGAUGGGGAACAUUCCCCACACAGGAGCCAAAUGAGACCAGGAAAAAUUUUCAGACGGGCCAUGCAUCAUCUUCUGUGUGCGGAAAUACGGACCACAUCACUGGUGGACCAUACCUGUUCCAUGCACCACCAGCAGAUGAAUGAAUGUGCCCUCAUGAACAACACUUCGGGGCUUCUAUUAAUGAUUAUCUUGCUAUGUCUUUGCAUCUCAUUAACCUUCAGCAGGGACAGCAGGCGAUGAACGACACUUUGCGCCGACAUGAGCAGUGGCAGCAUCACAUUGAUGAUACGUUUCAGCAACACGAGCAUUGGCAGCACCAGACGGAUCAGCAGUUCAGGCAGUUACAUGAGGGACAACAGCAUAUACAGACCGGAUUAGAGUACCUGAUAGAGCUUAUGGGGUUCCAACCACCACCUCCACCACAUUUCUGAGCCCGGUAACAUUCAGCUAGGGGGAGAGCCCCCGCAAGGCAAUAUGGAGUAUCUAAACUGGUCACCACUAGAUUCAUUGGAAACUAGACUCGACAAGCUUUCCAACAAGUCCUCAUGGACCUUCAUAGCUUUUGUGAGUAAAAAGUUAUGAAGAUUUAUUUGCACUGGUCCAUUUCUGACUUCCAUUGGUCCGUUUUUUACUUCUUCUAGUCUGGUUUGAUAGUGUCUUCUAGGACUUGCACUGGUCUGUUCUUCAUGGUCUGAUUCAUUCUUCUCUUCUUCUAUAUACCUGAGUACAA
Long non-coding RNA from Sorghum bicolor (sorghum), 1203 nucleotides. RefSeq lists it as uncharacterized. The transcript is spliced from 3 exons. NCBI's taxonomy places the organism in Eukaryota, Viridiplantae, Streptophyta, Magnoliopsida, Poales, Poaceae. The record is from RefSeq and is a predicted model, not a curated record.